UAAUACAGAGGGUGCGAGCGUUAAUCGGAAUUACUGGGCGUAAAGCGCGCGUAGGCGGCUUGUUAAGUCAAAUGUGAAAUCCCCGAGCUUAACUUGGGCAUUGCAUUCGAUACUGGCAAGCUAGAGUAUGGGAGAGGAAGGUAGAAUUCCAGGUGUAGCGGUGAAAUGCGUAGAGAUCUGGAGGAAUACCGAUGGCGAAGGCAGCCUUCUGGCCUAAUACUGACGCUGAGGUGCGAAAGCAUGGGGAGCAAACAGGAUUAGAUACCCUGGUAGUCCAUGCCGUAAACGAUGUCAACUAGCCGUUGGGCCCCUUGAGGGCUUAGUGGCGCAGCUAACGCGAUAAGUUGACCGCCUGGGGAGUACGGUCGCAAGACUA
This 376-nucleotide ribosomal RNA is filed under the name uncultured bacterium. RNAcentral describes it as "bacterial SSU rRNA". It matches the Rfam family "Bacterial small subunit ribosomal RNA", at positions 521 to 896 of the family's 1533-position model. The record is from RNAcentral.